AAAUAGAACUUUGCAGAGAGAGUUAACAGGGCGUGAAACCGUUAAUUGAGAAACGAAUCGGAGCCACGAAGUCGUUUCGCUGUUUAGUUGGAUCAGGUUCAGCUGAUGAGCAAAAAACUCAUUGGUGUAUUCUUGUGUCCAACCUAACCUUGUAAGCGUACACUGCAACCAGUUAGACGAUUGGCCAUGGGCCCAGUUCGGAUUAGUAGUAGUGCGGUGUACUUCGGUGCAUUUGUAUUGCUGGAUYCGUGGCAAGUGAACUAUGGCCAAAUACUGACUGGCGAAAUGAAAAUCGCGUUUAGUCGCGUUUUAAAUAAUGCAGCUAGUUGUAUAAGUGUCUACACAUUCGACUAGCGGGUCUAAGCUCAGCUCCUUUGAAUUUGGACUUGCUUGCUACCAGUGGGGCAACUCCUGGUGCUUGUAUAGCUUCAUCUAAUCGGGUGUUGACUUGGCACGCUAUGUUCUGGUGUGCUACGAUUGGGCGCUAAUAUAAUCUGGUUCGCUAUGAUUGGCAGUGAGUAGGUCGGCUUUCCGAACGACCCGUCUUGAAACACGGACCAAGGAGUCUAGUUAGGCAUCGAGUCGAUCGGUCUUGAAUAGGCCAGACUUGUGAGAGCUCUCGCUGAAGGCGUAGAGAUCGUGUGAUCAUGCAGGCAAACCAGCCUACAUGCGCAACAUGUGCCUGUUCGUAUAGCAAUGUAGCAAUAAUUGCUGAGCGGAGCAAAGAGAUGCCUGAUUGGGACCCGAAAGAUGGUGAUGCUUGGGCAAAUUGAAGCCAGAGGAAACUCUGGUGGAGGAUUUAGCUGACGUGCAAAUCGAUCGUCAGACCUGAGUAUAGGGGCGAAAGACUAAUCGAACCAUC
Molecule: ribosomal RNA, 862 nt
Filed under: Epitrimerus sp. S130 1
Lineage: Eukaryota; Metazoa; Arthropoda; Arachnida; Trombidiformes; Eriophyidae
Description: partial large subunit ribosomal RNA
Source: RNAcentral